AAUAAUUCAGAAUGAAUUUCCAUCAAAAAUCAGUAUUUGGCUAAUUGUUAACUUCAAAAUCCAGUAAUACACUCACUUGCUGCCACCAGCCCGUACAUCAUGUCCUCCCAUGGCUCUGCCGCCCCGCUCCUCCACAGGUUGCAAUGGAAGAAGAGAUCGCCACGCUCGUCAUUGACAAUGGCUCUGGCAUGUGCAAAGCUGGCUUUGCUGAGGAUGGAUGGCCCCGGAGCUGUGUUCACCUCCAUCAUCUCCAUCAUCAGGCACCCCCCUGCACCAGGGGGUGAUGGUGGGCAUGGGCCAGAAGGACUCCUACAUGGGCCUCGAGGCCCAGAGCAAGCGCAACAUCCUGACCCUGAAGUACCCUAUCGAGCAUGGCAUCAUCACCAUCUGAGACGACAUGGAGAAGAUCUGGCACCACACCUUCUACAACGAGCUGUGCAUGGCCCUAGAGAAGCACCCGGUGCUGCUGACCGAGGCCCCCCAAAUCCCAAGGCCAACAGAGACAAGAUGACUCAGAUCAUGUUUGAGACCUUGAACACCCCAGCCAUGGCCAUGCCCUUCCCCCAUGCCAUCCUGCGUCUGGAUCUGGAUGGCUGGGACCUGACCAACUACUUCAUGGAGAUCCUCACUGAGCUUCACCAUCACGGCCAAGCAGGAGAUUGUGCGCGACAUCAACGAGAAGCUGUGCCACGUCGCCCUGGACUUCGAGCAGGAGAUGGACACUGCCACAUCCUCCUCCUCCUCCCUGGAGAAGAGCUAUGAGCUGCCUGACGGCCAGGUCAGGUCAUCACCAUCGGCAACAAGUGGUUCUGGUGUCUGCAGGCACUGUUCCAGCCUUCCUUCUUGGGCAUGGAAUCCUGCAGCAUCCACAAGACCACCUUCAACUCCAUCAUGAAGUAUGACGUGGACAUCCGCAAAGACCUGUACGCCAACACAGUGCUGUCUGGCAGCACCACCAUGUAUCCUGGCAUCACCGCCCUGGCAUCCAGCACCAUGAAGAUCAAGAUCAUCAUGCCCCCACAGCACAAGUACUCGGUGUAGAUCGGUGGUUCCAUCCUGGCCUCACUGUCCACCUUCUAGCAGAUGUGGAUUAGCAAUUAGCUAUGUAUGACGAGUCUGGCCCCUCCAUCGUCCACUGCAAAUGCCUCUAAAUGGACUGCAAGCAGAUGUUCAGCAUUUGCUGCAUGGGUUAAUUCAGGAGUAUAAAUUUGCCCCUGGCAAAUGCAUAAACCUCAUGCUAGCCUCACAAAACUGGAAUAAGCCUUCAAAAAGAAAUUUGUGGCCAGGUGUGGUGGCCCAUGCCUGUGAUCCCAGCACUUUGGGAGGCCUAGACGGGUGGAUCACAAGGUCAGGAGUUUGAGACCGGCCUGGCCAACAUGGUGAAACCCCGUCUCUCCUAAAAAUACAAAAAUUAGCCAGGCAUGGUGGCAUUCGUCUAUAAUCCCAGCUACUGGGGAGGCUGAGGCAGGAGAAUCGCUUGAACCUGGGAGGCGGAGGUUGUGGUGAGCCGAGAUUGCACCGCUGCACUCCAGCCUGGGCAACAGGAACAGGG
Mandrillus leucophaeus (drill) is the source of this 1552-nucleotide RNA transcript. It is a transcript of the gene named actin, cytoplasmic 2-like, with no coding region annotated. NCBI's taxonomy places the organism in Eukaryota, Metazoa, Chordata, Mammalia, Primates, Cercopithecidae. The transcript is spliced from 2 exons. The record is from RefSeq and is a predicted model, not a curated record.